RNAcentral lists this microRNA precursor (205 nucleotides) under Oryza glumipatula. RNAcentral describes it as "MIR812 microRNA precursor family". It matches the Rfam family "MIR812 microRNA precursor family". The record is from Rfam by way of RNAcentral. Lineage: Eukaryota; Viridiplantae; Streptophyta; Magnoliopsida; Poales; Poaceae.
AAUGAAUACAGUUUUACGUUGUUUGUGCCAUAUGUUUGAUCGUCCAUUUUAUUUAAAAAAAAUAUGAUUAGUAUUUUUUAUUGUUAUUAGAUGAUAAAAUAUGAAUAUUACUUUAUAUGUGACUAUUUUUUAAUUUUUUUUAUAAAUAUUUCAAAUAAGACGGAUGGUUAAAUAUUGAACACAGAAAUCCACGACUAGACUUAAA